This 403-nucleotide ribosomal RNA is filed under the name Verrucomicrobiota bacterium. RNAcentral describes it as "Verrucomicrobia bacterium partial 16S ribosomal RNA". It matches the Rfam family "Bacterial small subunit ribosomal RNA", at positions 355 to 776 of the family's 1533-position model. The record is from RNAcentral. Lineage: Bacteria; Pseudomonadati; Verrucomicrobiota.
UGGGGAAUAUUGCACAAUGGGCGCAAGCCUUAUGCAGCAACGCCGCGUGAACGAUGAAGGUCUUCGGAUCGUAAAGUUCUGUUGCAGGGGAAGAUAAUGACGGUACCCUGUGAGGAAGCCCCGGCUAACUACGUGCCAGCAGCCGCGGUAAUACGUAGGGGGCUAGCGUUAUCCGGAUUUACUGGGCGUAAAGGGUGCGUAGGUGGUCUUUCAAGUCGGUGGUUAAAGGCUACGGCUCAACCGUAGUUAGCCUCCGAAACUGGAAGACUUGAGUGCAGGAGAGGAAAGUGGAAUUCCCAGUGUAGCGGUGAAAUGCGUAGAUAUUGGGAGGAACACCAGUAGCGAAGGCGGCUUUCUGGACUGCAACUGACACUGAGGCACGAAAGCGUGGGUAGCAAACAGG